RNAcentral lists this ribosomal RNA (447 nucleotides) under uncultured bacterium. RNAcentral describes it as "bacterial SSU rRNA". It matches the Rfam family "Bacterial small subunit ribosomal RNA", at positions 355 to 825 of the family's 1533-position model. The record is from RNAcentral.
UGGGGAAUUUUGGACAAUGGGCGCAAGCCUGAUCCAGCCAUGCCGCGUGAGUGACGAAGGCCUUAGGGUUGUAAAGCUCUUUUGGCGGGGAAGAUAAUGACGGUACCCGCAGAAUAAGCUCCGGCUAACUUCGUGCCAGCAGCCGCGGUAAUACGAAGGGAGCUAGCGUUGUUCGGAAUCACUGGGCGUAAGGCGCACGUAGGUGGGCAGUUAAGUCAGGGGUGAAAGCCCGAGGCUCAACCUCGGAAUUGUCUCUGAUACUGGCUGUCUAGAGUUCGAGAGAGGUGAGUGGAAUUCCUAGUGUAGAGGUGAAAUUCGUAGAUAUUAGGAAGAACACCGGUGGCGAAGGCGGCUCACUGGCUCGAUACUGACACUGAGGUGCGAAAGCGUGGGGAGCAAACAGGAUUAGAUACCCAGGUAGUCCCUGAGCGGGCUGGCAAGGCGCAU